This 261-nucleotide ribosomal RNA is filed under the name uncultured prokaryote. Its description in RNAcentral is "partial 16S ribosomal RNA". It matches the Rfam family "Bacterial small subunit ribosomal RNA", at positions 524 to 784 of the family's 1533-position model. The record is from RNAcentral.
UACGUAGGUGGCAAGCGUUAUCCGGAAUUAUUGGGCGUAAAGAGCGCGCAGGUGGUUGAUUAAGUCUGAUGUGAAAGCCCACGGCUUAACCGUGGAGGGUCAUUGGAAACUGGUCGACUUGAGUGCAGAAGAGGGAAGUGGAAUUCCAUGUGUAGCGGUGAAAUGCGUAGAGAUAUGGAGGAACACCAGUGGCGAAGGCGGCUUACUGGACUGUAACUGACGCUGAGUCACGAAAGCGUGGGUAGCAAACAGGAUUAGAUA